UCUUGCUCAGUCAGAGGAAGUAAAAGUCGUAACAAGGUUUCCGUAGGUGAACCUGCGGAAGGAUCAUUAUUGAAUAAACUUGGUUAGGUUGUUGCUGGCUCCUCGGAGCAUGUGCACGCCUAGCACCAAUUGUUUUUACCACCUGUGCACCUUUUGUAGACUCCGGAGUGCUUGCGCUUCAUAGUCUAUGUCUUCACAUAUACACAUGAAUGUAAUAGAAUGUCAUUAACUGGCCAUUUAGUGCCUUUACAAAUGAAAUACAACUUUCAACAACGGAUCUCUUGGCUCUCGCAUCGAUGAAGAACGCAGCGAAAUGCGAUAAGUAAUGUGAAUUGCAGAAUUCAGUGAAUCAUCGAAUCUUUGAACGCACCUUGCGCUCCUUGGUAUUCCGAGGAGCAUGCCUGUUUGAGUGUCAUUAAAUUCUCAACCUUUUCAACUUUUGUUAGUUGGUCAGGCUUGGAUUGUGGGGGUUGCGGGCUUCUCGGAAGUCGGCUCUCCUUAAAUACAUUAGCAGAAACCUUUGUUGCAUUAGCUCCGGCGUGAUAAUUAUCUACGCCGCAUGUGAAACAACUCUUAUACGGUUUAGCUUUCUAAUAGUCCUUUGGGACAAGCUCUUGACAAUUUGACCUCAAAUCAGGUAGGA
This 643-nucleotide ribosomal RNA is filed under the name Tephrocybe confusa. Its description in RNAcentral is "eukaryotic LSU rRNA". The stretch from base 262 to 415 matches the Rfam family "5.8S ribosomal RNA". Lineage: Eukaryota; Fungi; Basidiomycota; Agaricomycetes; Agaricales; Lyophyllaceae. The record is from RNAcentral.